Molecule: non-coding RNA, 46 nt
Organism: Anas platyrhynchos (mallard)
Lineage: Eukaryota; Metazoa; Chordata; Aves; Anseriformes; Anatidae
Source: Rfam
CCAACGGCUCUUUUAAGAGCCACCCACACAUUCUCUAAAGGAGCUG